GUAGUGCAUGGCCGCCGUCAGUUCGUACCGUAAGGCGUUCUGUUAAGUCAGAUAACGAACGAGACCCUCAUCCCUAUUUGCCAAGGUCUGUCCGCAGACCACGGGACUAUAGGGAGACCGCUGGCGCGAAGUCAGAGGAAGGCGAGGGCAACGGUAGGUCAGUAUGAUCCGAAUGCCAUGGGCUACACGCGCAAUACAAAGGACGGGACAAUGGGCUGCUACUCCGAGAGGAAGAAGCUAUCCCGAAACCCGUUCGUAGUUCGGAUUGGGGGCUGUAACCCGCCCCCAUGAAGCUGGAUUAGGUAGUAAUCGCGUCUCAACAAGGCGCGGUGAAUAUGCCCCUGCUCCUUGCACACACCGCCCGUCAAACCAUCUUAGUUGUGGGUGGGUGAGGCUACCUUGAUAAUGGGGUAUUCGAGCCUGCCUUCGACAAGGAGGGUUAAGUCGUAACAAGGUAUCUGUAGGGGAACCUGCAGAUGGAUCACCUCCUA
Molecule: ribosomal RNA, 491 nt
Filed under: Euryarchaeota archaeon TMED215
Lineage: Archaea; Methanobacteriati; Methanobacteriota
Also listed under: 1 other name
Description: bacterial SSU rRNA
Rfam family: Archaeal small subunit ribosomal RNA
Source: RNAcentral